CAUUCGCACAGAGUCUCCAGUUGAAUUCCGUGGACGAAUGUGACGGUGCGUUUGAUUAAUCUGCUUCCAUCCAACCUGAAAUAUGAAGUGUUUCGACUUUCACACACCAAGUUAUGACUUUGAAGCGGGCUGAAAACAUUUUACGGUGUUGUUCUGAAAAUCCUGCAGACCUUUCCAGCGAGGCUCAGCCUGCGGUGGCUCUGUCCUUUCCUCUUGUGUCUGCUAGAGUAAUGUGAGGCUGUUUGAGGCCCUGCUGUGACCACUCGCUGCAGGGUUAUAGGUAAACCUCAGACAAAUUGUCUCUGUACAUUUGUGUUUAUUCAGGUGGCUGGAUUGUGCAUUAAUCCACAGGAGCAGUGCAUGAAGGCUGGCCGCUGCCAUCAAUGGCGUAUGGGUCACCAGAUGUAACCAUGGCGGCUGGCUUCUUCAGCAAUGACUCAUAAGGAGUAGCCCAUGAAUAUGGGCAGCUGCCAUCUUCAGUUCCUCUAUGGCGCGUGGACCACGAGUUGCAAAUAAGAUGCCAAGUGGCUGUCUCACACGUUCACCUGGACAUCUCUUAACUGUACACGGCGCUGCUUCCAGAGAAAAGCUCUCCAGUCACCGUGCAGAUGGUUGUUGUUUCUCAAAGCGCCAGAGAUUUAAGAGUCUGACUUCACAGAUUGGAUGAAAUCUGCAGAGAACAAAAGAGCCGGAGAACCAGUUGAUCGAGCAAAAGAAAUAAAGAUUAAAAUAUUAUUUUUAUUGCACUGCUUUAGUAAUGUACAGGUUGACUGUCGUUUGAAGCACUUGUUGGUUAAGUUGACUUGCAGAUUUUGUGGUUUAAUGUGGAAAGAAUCUGUGACACUAAAGAAACUAGAAAAAUGUAUUGCACAGAGAUAAAUCGAUUAUAAUCUGUUACAAAUUUAAACACAUGAAAGUGUUUGACCAGCUGAAAUUAAUACUAGAGAAACAUUAAAAUAAAAUAAUGAAAAUGGA
Long non-coding RNA from Oreochromis niloticus (Nile tilapia), 975 nucleotides. RefSeq lists it as uncharacterized. Lineage: Eukaryota; Metazoa; Chordata; Actinopteri; Cichliformes; Cichlidae. The record is from RefSeq and is a predicted model, not a curated record. The transcript is spliced from 7 exons.